AUGAUUUUGAUUGAUUCUCAUAGAGGUGAAUGGAAGGAAGUGCAUCAUCCAAGAUGGGUUCCUGAACCAGGGCCAACUUUGGGACUUGAAAGCAGUAGUCUUUUGGGUGUAUUUGCUGCCUCCUCACCCCAGUUCUCCCAGGCCUCCCUGUAUGUGGAAAAAGGCGCAUCCCUGUUCUUGCUGCUUAACUUUGCUGGGAAAGGCAGCACCGACGACUGGGUGCUGCCCAGUUUUCGCCGCCCCUGGGUGCUUGCUUUGGUGUUGCCUAGCAGUUGGAUGAGACUGUUUUUACCAGAAAAUCCUGUUUUGUUCAUUCAUCAAGUUGGUUGCUAGUGCUUGAGCAAAGUAUGGGAGAGAAAAUGGAAAAUGGAGCUGAAAUUGAAAUACCAUGUGCUGAGCGUAUGUACAGUGCUUUCCCUCAUUACCAACUCUUGAUGUUGGGGUUACCUCAUUUACUCAAGAAGCUCAGAGAUGGAGAGUGGUCUCGACUCUUAACAGACUUGGGGCUCCCUUUGUAUAAAAAUAUAUUUUGUAAUGAUCCUUCACUAUCCUGAAGUGAAAUCCAUUCUCUCUGUUCACUAUUUAAAAAAGAAAAAAGCAAGGUGAAGCCUUAACUAUAAUAUAAAAAGGAGAGCAGUUUAUAAAAUAGAAUGUAUUUGUGUAUGUUGGGUAUGACUGCCAGAAGACAAGAAAUAAGUCAGAUGUUUGAACCUACUUGAAGUUGUUCCAUACUUGACCUGUAAGAAAAGAGUGAAGGCACAUGUAGAAAUCAGAAUAAAAGCUACAGCCAGGGAGUAAUGAGACCAUACUUCGUUGAGUAUGAUAGGAGAGGGAGAAAUAAGCUUAAUUGAAGUAGGGAUAACAUGUCAGACAAAUACAACAGAUCACUGAAUUGAAGAAGAAAGAUAGCACAGUAUUCUCACAAAUGAGUUGGGCCUUAAAACUAUAAUGUCAAAAAAAAAAAACUCACAAUGGGAUUUCCUGGUGGUCCAGUGGUUAAGACCCGUGCUUCACUGCAGGGCAACCUGGUCAUAUCCUGCAGGCCACAUGGCCAAAAAAAACUACAUGGGGUGAGGGGAGUGUAAUAAAUACAGUUCUGUCCCAUUAAGUUAGGAGGAUUUAAGUGAAUUAAUACAUGAAAGGUGCUCAAAACGUUCUGUCACUUUUAAACAAAGUAUGAGGUAGUAUAUAGGAUCACAAGGAGUUGGACGUGACAGUGGCUGAACGACCACAGUCCUUUGGUAGAAGGGGAAUGACAGUUAGGAAAAAUUGGCUAGUCCCGACUGCACAGGGUAAAGUACAAUUCUAGACAAUGUCUUUAUCCCAUUUAAUCAUUUUCUUUAAAUGGCUUUAUGCAGACACUUUUAAUACUUUCUACCUGUACUUGGUUCAGACCUGUGGGCAUAGGCAGUUCUUUGUGUGCCAGACAUCGCGUGUCUCUGUCCUCUUCACCUGAUGUCUGUGAUGCUCCCUGGCCAGUGUGACAACCAUAAAAAGGAAAAGAAAAGCUGCAGUUUCCCCAGCACCCACCAGGAGGCGGUACUGCCCUGUUGAGAAUACUGGGCCAGAUUUGCCUGGGCUCACACACUUGUUGAGUAGAAUUGUGUCUCCAUUGACUCCAGAGUCUCUUUUUUCCACUAUGAUAGUAACAAUAAAGGUAGUAAUAAAGACAAUAGAGUGAUAAUUAGUAUUCCUUAAACUCCUGCCAGCAUCUUGCUAAAUGUUUUACAUAUACCUAUUACUAGCUCACUUAAACCUCACCACUUGAGGGCAGUUUCUCAUCUUACAGAUGAAGAAAUCAAGGCUUAGGUCCAAGACCCAUGUUAAGUGUUUUGUGUAGAAGAGGUUGUACUUGAGCUAAGUAUUGAAGAAUGGGAUUGGGAUAGAAAGCUGGCUACAUAAAGAAAAAAGCCAUGUGUAUAAAAGCAAAGGCAGGAAACUUCAAGGUUUUAUUAUGGACUGACAGCUUUUAAGACCCUGUGAAUUUAUUCAGGGUUUAGAAUUGGAGAUUAGUAAAAAGUGAGAACUAGAGGAGAACUUAAGAGUUCAUCAGGGACUGGUGAUUUUCAAACUUGAAAACUAGCCAAACCUUUUUCUGGAAUGAAAUUGUAUAUUACAAAAUACAUAAGAAUUUAAAUGAUGUUGUAAGUUCUGGUAGAUAAAUUGAGUUACGAAGAUAGGAAAAAUAAUGUUUUGAUGAAUGCAGUCUUAAAUUGACUUCAGAGCCAAGUUUUUCCUGUUUUGGUUGUACAGAAAAGUGAAUACAUUUUUUAACAACUCAUUCUGCAAUGCCAGAAGUGACAGGAUGGAAAGUCUACCUCACAACAACCUAGAAACACAGAUUCACUUUAGCAUGUUAGUAAGUUUUAUGUUCUAAAAAAAACAAAAUCGUUAGACAUACAAGCAUAUAUUUUAAACACAGAUCAAAUGCUUGGGAGACUCCUGAGGCACCAUGUGAGUUCUUACGCUGCCCAGACCUUUACCCUGUAAAGCCUGAGGUAAAGGGACAGGGGAGUGAGUUGUUGAGACUCAUGGAGCCCAGCUAGGGCCAUCUCUGGGUGCUCAGCCUCCUGAGUCUCGGCUCAGUACUCCUGAGAGACUGAAAUCUGGUGUGGCCACAUACCACCGCCCUGGCUGUACAACCCCUCACCUGCCAAGGCCCUGGCUGCUUGCCCAUCUCCCUGGCAGAUAAAGCCUCAGACGGAGGGCAAACAGUACACGGCUCCAGGAGUCAGCGCAGGUCUGAUUGACCCAGCGGUUUCUGCCUGUGCCACAUCCCUUCCCUUGCUGUGGCCAGAUCCGGGCUCUUGAGCAACAGGCAGACACCUGUGAGCUUGAGAACGGUGUCGGCUCUUUCAAGGAGGGUUUUCCAGGCCACAGAGGGACUUGUCUGCCCUGUCCCCGUGGGCGGCUCAGAGCCUUGCCCCAUCGACCUCAGGCCCAGUAUCAGGGCGGGGCAGCGUCAUGGGGUGUGGUGCUGUGUUACCAGGGUGCAGACAUGUUGGCGACAGGUGGUGGCUCUGAAGCAUGGGAGAACAGGUGGGCUACUGACUCCCAGGAUUUAAAAAAUACCGUUUAUCAUCAUUUGCAGUCUUUUUUUCAGGGAAGCAUGAUAAACCACUAUUAGGAGGUAUUCUUCUAAUCACAGCAUUAUUCAUAUUAGUGUUUUUGUUUAAGAGAAUGCAUUCUCUUGCUCCUGAAGAGAAAAAUACCAUGAGCAAGCAAUAUGUUUAUACAGAAACAAAUGUUUUAAAAGUAAGUUCACACACUGAAACCUUUGGCUGGACACAGGCUGUUAUCAAAUAAUAAAUUAACCUGACCUUGACUCAGAGCAGGUCCUCCAGAAGCGGGUUCACAGAGUAUUGCUCUGCUGGGAACGGCUUCUCUGAGGCUCUGUGGUCAUGUCGCAGGAGAGGGGGAAGGUUCUGCUUUCUCCGGAGUUGCCGUGCUGACCUUGACCAUACUGUCGUGUAUUUGCGUGCCCGCUGCUGGCAUGUCACCGUGGCCCCUCGUGAUAGUGAAGCCUUUGACUCCUCUGGGAACUUGAGUCUCCACAGCUGAGCAGUGGGAGCCAGAACUGCUUCCCUUCCCGGCUUGUUGGGACAAAACCUGAGGUAACGCGUGCAAAGCUUCAACAACUCUGCCUGGCACAGAGGGAGCCCCGAAAGUUGCCAGGCUCAGCGUUUUUCACAUGAGCUCUACUCCAUCCUCUUUACUCACUUUUAAUUCAAAGGUAAUCCACCAUAAUGGCAGCACAUAAACAAGAAAGUGACCUAGUAGAUUUUGAAUUUUCAUAAGUUUUUUUCCAUCCUAUUUUAUUUAUUCUGUACGCUUGGAGUGGGAAGUGUCUUCAUUUGUUUGUGUUUGGUUCAGUCGCUCAGUCGUGUCCGACUCUGCCACCCCAUGGACUGCAGCACGCCAGGCCUCCCUGUCCAUCACCAGCUCCCGGAGCUUGCUCAAACUCAUGUCCAUCGAGUCGGUGAUGCCAUCCAACCAUCUCAUCCUCUGUUGUCCCCUUCUCCCGCCUUCAGUCUUUCCCAGCAUCAGGGUCAUUUCCAAUGAGUCAGUUCUUCACAUCAGGUGCCCAAAGUAUUGAGACUUUCAGCUUCAACAUCAGUCCUUCCAAUAUAUAUUCAAGACUGACUGCCUUUAGGAUUGACUGGUUGGAUCUCUUUGCAGUCCAAGGGACUCUGAAGAGUCUUCCAACAUCAUUUGUGUUUAGCGGGUGUUAGAGAGGUGAUAUCAUGGCCCCACUUUGCAAAUGAGGAAACUGAAACCAGAAAGAGGAAGUACUUUUCCCAAGGUCACGCAGAGUAGGAAGGUUAAGCCAGGUUUGAACUCCACAGCCUGAGUCCAAGCCCAGCACCCGUGUCAGGACCAGGAGGGACCUCAGAGGUGCCCUGCAUUGAGGUGCCCACCCGUGAGUCUCAGACACCUGCCCCCGAACCCCCGUGUUUACAGGGAGCCUGCGCCCAUGAUGUAUUUCCCUCAUGAUGACUUGAGGUACUUAAAACCUCCCCACUGAAGAUGAAUUCCUGUUUUGCAGCCUGUCCAGUGCUGGAGUCCUGGGAGAGGGCAGGUUGUGAGUAAACUCAGGGUUUUUGCUUUCCCAGGGAUACUGGGUUGGCAUUGUCCUUGGCUCUGCAAGCACAUAAGUACUCUCCUUCUGGGCAUCUCCUCCCUCCCCUUUAAAAUCUUUUGGCUGUGCAGUACAGCAUGUGGGAUCUUUGUUCCCUGACCAGCUGUCAAACCUGCAUCCCCUGCAUUGAAAACAUGGAGUCUUAACCACUGGACCCCCAGGGAAGUCGCUUCCCUAGCUUUUAAAAGGGUGCUUUUUAGUCUGUUUGCUUUCUUCUGGUCUUUCCUGUUUGCUAGCUGUCUUGGAGUUCCCAGCAAGUAUUUCCAUUGUGUUCUAAAAGAAACCAACUGCAGUGUUUUAAUGCCUAAGGUAACAAAUAUGCACUGUUUCAGCCGUUAAAAUUAUACAUUGAGGAGGAGGUCAAGUGGAUUGUGGGCAAAUCGUUCCCUAAAAUCUACCUGUAAUUUUAAAGAAUUCCAAAAAGAUAAAGACAGCAGCUCAAGAACCCUAAUUGUGUGGUGGUUGUGAGUGGUCACGUAUGAUGUGGGCCCUGCCCUGUGCUAGUCCAGGUGGCACACGGAUCUAUCUCCUGUGCCAACGUGGCAGUCAGACCUGGGGGCCCUGAGGGUCAGCUGGAGGAGAGAUGGACCUUCACCUCCUUGGUGUGCCCGUUGUAGGAGGGCAGACAGUGGGGCUGCAGGUGGCAUGCGCCUCGUGUGGCAGCCUGUGCCUUC
Molecule: long non-coding RNA, 5313 nt
Organism: Bos grunniens (domestic yak)
Lineage: Eukaryota; Metazoa; Chordata; Mammalia; Artiodactyla; Bovidae
Source: Ensembl